This 438-nucleotide ribosomal RNA is filed under the name Triticum aestivum (bread wheat). Its description in RNAcentral is "partial small subunit ribosomal RNA". Lineage: Eukaryota; Viridiplantae; Streptophyta; Magnoliopsida; Poales; Poaceae. The record is from RNAcentral.
AUGGGGCGAGGAGGCGGAGCCGAUGACCCUGGCGGCGGCGGCGGCGGAGGGGUCCCAGGGGCUCGAGGACCAACGUCUGAUGCAGCCGUGGUUCCUCGCCGUCAAGAGCUAGAUCGAGCGCACGGCGGUGUAGCCGUCCAGAGGAAGAGGAAGAGCACCCUGCGCCGGUUCGGCCGUGGCGUCACGGAUAGGAGGUCGCCGCCUCGUCGUGCAGCGCGCGAUGGUGGACCGAUGGGCGUCCAAGAGGCAUUUGACCUUGCCGGAUCACGCUGCUGCUGGCGUAAUCCAGUCCGGAUCUGUGGAGAGCCCGGCGCAGCACCGUCUACAGGACACAGGUCCAUAUCUCUUACAGUCUUACUCUACCUUAUUCCUUGUAAGUUCACGGCUUCCAUUGCUCUUCAGUUCUGGUUAGUAGUUGGAAACUGUAAAAGUAUCUGA